GUCGUAACAGGUUUCCGUAGGUGAACCUGCGGAAGGAUCAUUCACACACAUCCAACCAUUUCACUGUGAACUUCUUUGUGAGCUCUUGCGCGGGGGUUGGGGCCUUGUGCCGCACCCUGGCGUUAGCAGUUCGCGGGUAGUGGAGCAGCAUUGGGUUCACCUUUGUCUGUGAAGCUAUCGCUAUUCUUGUGUAGAUCACAAUUGUGUCUCGCGUGGUUUCUUUGGGUGGUCUUCAUGGCCAUCGCUCUUUGAAACACAACUUUCAGCGACGGAUGUCUCGGCUCGAACAACGAUGAAGGGCGCAGCGAAGUGUGAUAAGCAUUGUGAAUUGCAGAAUUCCGUGAACCAAUAGGGAUUUGAACGUAUACUGCGCUUUCGGGUUAUUCCUGAAAGCAUGCCUUCUUCAGUGUCUACUGAUUUUCAUGCCCCUGACGUAUGCCAAGUCUUCUUGGUGCUGUCAUGGGUGCGUGUUUGUGUGUCAAGGAGCCUCUUUUGGCCUUUGACGCAUUCAGUGUACAGGUAGCGUCUCCAACGAGCAACUUAAUAAGCAUCUUCUGGUGUCUCUUUCGUUGUGUAGUUGUUGACUCGUAGCCUGCUCCAGCUCACGACUCCUGUCGUCAUUCAAGACAUGAAGUUAGGUCAGCAAACCCGCUGAAUUUAAGCAUAUAAGUAAGCGGAGGAUAAGAAACUAAAUAGGAUUCCCUCAGUAAUGGCGAAUGAACAGGGAUAAGCUCAGCUUGGAAAUUGGGCCCUCUGGGCUUGAAUUGUAGUCUUUCGAUGGCAUUGCCAGCGGAGGCGCAGAUGUAAGCCUCUUGGAAAAGAGCAUCAAUGAGGGUGAGAGUCCCGUUUGUCAUCUGCAGUCCCCCGUUUACGGUGUGCUUUCUAAGAGUCACGUUCCUUGGGAUUGGAGCGCAAAUUGGGUGGUAAAUUUCAUCUAAAGCUAAAUAUUGGUUCGAGACCGAUAGCAAACAAGUACCAUGAGGGUAAGGUGAAAAGGACUUUGAAAAGAGAGUUAAAAGUGCCUGAAAUUGCUGAAAGGGAAGCGAAUGGAACCAGUCUUCUUGGUGAGAUUGUUGUGCGCUAUUGUGAUUGCUUUCUGCUUCAACGCAAGUGUUGCAGUUUGUUUUGAGCAUGACGCGCACUUUGUUUCUCACCUCGUGUGUCACCGUCGGUUCAGAUUUGAGGAAAACUCUAGGGACAUGGUUAAUCGCUCGCGAGUGAUUGAACGUGCCUGGUAGAACUCAUGUCUAAACUGAUUUCCGCAUGUCUGGUCGCAGUGUUCUCAUUACCUGCGUCUGGGUUCGUGGCUUGUAGCUUCUGUUACUCGUCGCGGGCUUCUGGGCCUGGUCGUGGAGCAUCUCCCUGACAUUAGUACGAUGACAAAAUGGUUUCAUUCGACCCGUCUUGAAACACGGACCAAGGAGUCUAACAUAUGUGCAAGUUCACGGGUGUUAAACCUGAUUGCGCAAUGAAAGUGACUGCUGGGAUAUUUGCACCAGCAACCGACCAAUCAAUUGUGAGAGGUUUGAGUAUGAGCAUAUCUGUUAGGACCCGAAAGAUGGUGAACUAUGCGUGA
RNAcentral lists this ribosomal RNA (1576 nucleotides) under Karlodinium veneficum. RNAcentral's name for it is "eukaryotic LSU rRNA". The stretch from base 625 to 1576 matches the Rfam family "Eukaryotic large subunit ribosomal RNA", at positions 1 to 840 of the family's 3401-position model. Lineage: Eukaryota; Dinophyceae; Gymnodiniales; Kareniaceae. The record is from RNAcentral.